CCUAACCUACUCCUAAUACACUUUGGAUUAGAGUUCUACUAUAAUUAGAGUUCUACUAUAUUCACAUAUCUAACAACAACAAUUCAUAAAAGAACAAACUUUAAACGGAAUUAAAAAAAGUAUAAAAACGCAGCAUUCCAAAGGACAUCUAGCAGUCAAAAAUCCUAUGUGCAAGCUCAUCAUCCGUCUAUUUACGCUAUUCCAAAUUAAUGUCCACUUUUUGAGAAGGAGCAAACUAUAUAAACCAAAAUAUUAUCUGGAGAUGGCUCGUAUACUUCUCAGCGAUGCUUUUAAUUAUUCUAGCCCUAAUAAUUUCAAAGAAUACGUUAUAAAACAAAAACUCUCCUGCCAUACUAAUAAACUAGGCAACUCAAAUUAGGAGAUUCAUUUUGAAAGAGGUAUAGUAUUACUUUGUAUGCUUCAGAGUUGCAGAAAAGUGAAACAAUCAUCAGGUUUAUUGCACGCCUGCUGAAAAUAACAUGAAGGCGGUAGUUUGAUGGAUCAUGAACUUACAGGUUAUUCAGCUCAA
RNAcentral lists this long non-coding RNA (529 nucleotides) under Nicotiana benthamiana. Its description in RNAcentral is "long non-coding RNA (NBEN_LNC002354)". The record is from RNAcentral. Lineage: Eukaryota; Viridiplantae; Streptophyta; Magnoliopsida; Solanales; Solanaceae.